This 686-nucleotide long non-coding RNA is filed under the name Homo sapiens (human). RNAcentral's name for it is "HSALNT0121474". The record is from RNAcentral. Lineage: Eukaryota; Metazoa; Chordata; Mammalia; Primates; Hominidae.
GCAUCAAGUUGCCUUAGAGUUGAAAAGGUCAGAGGGGACCUAAUCAUCAUUUUCAGUAAUCAUUUUACCAUUCACACAUUUGGAGAUACCACAGCACUUACUUCAAAUGCUUCUUCCUCAACGCAUAAAUUACCACAUCCCCAACUUGUGUGUACACACACACACACACGUGUGUGUGUUCUUCAAUGUGUGUGCAAAAGAGAAUACGAGGAGUUCUGAGAACAUGAUCUGAAAAUCUUUCCAAUUGUCUAUGAUUUAGGAAAGUCUUGUACUUUGUAGAAGAUCCUAAAAUUCUGAGCUCAUGGAAGACUUGGCCAAAGGAGCCAAGUUUCUGGAUUUCUUAUCUGGCAUUCCAGUCCCUAUGUUCUGCUGUGCAAAGGCUGGGUGUGUUUCUAGUCUAUGAGAUUGUGAUGUUCAAAAAUAGAAAUAAGAGAGAGAGAUUUUCAGCAACUGAGCAUUAAUAUUUAAGAUCCUUGUGGGAAAGGGGAAAUGUUAUGGUGUAGUCAAUUAUAACGCCAACUUCUUCAAUCUCUAUUUACUUGGGAAAGGUUUCAGAGAUGUGGUCUUAAUUCCAGUUGAAACUGAUCUUUUCAUGUUUAGAGGGGACUGGAUAUUGACAGUUUUCUUUCCAUUUGUUCAGAAGUUUUAUUUUUGGCUUAUGAUAAUCCUAGCGUAUCAGUAACCAU